UGCGGGGUCGUCUAAUGGUAGGACGCCAGGUUCUGGCCCUGGUAAUCUAGGUUCGAAUCCUAGCCCCGCAGCCA
Molecule: transfer RNA, 74 nt
Filed under: bacterium HR34
Lineage: Bacteria
Description: tRNA-Gln
Rfam family: tRNA
About the family: Transfer RNA (tRNA) molecules are approximately 80 nucleotides in length. Their secondary structure includes four short double-helical elements and three loops (D, anti-codon, and T loops).
Source: RNAcentral